GUCGUGGCGUCUGCUGCGUGCUGGGCCGACCCUCCCACCCGUGUCGAUUUGUAUCUUGUUGCUUUGGCGGGCCGGGCCGCGUCGUCGCUGCCCGCAUGGGACAUGCGUCGGCCGCCCACCGGUUUCACGACUGGAGCGCGUCCGCCAAAGACCCAACCAAAAACUCAUGUUGUCUGUGUCGUCUCAGCUUUAUUAUGAAAAUUGAUAAAACUUUCAACAACGGAUCUCUUGGCUCUGGCAUCGAUGAAAAACGCAGCGAAAUGCGAUAAGUAAUGUGAAUUGCAGAAUUUAGUGAAUCAUCGAAUCUUUGAACGCACAUUGCGCCCCUUGGUAUUCCGAGGGGCAUGCCUGUUCGAGCGUCAUAACACCCCCUCCAGCUGCCUUUGUGUGGCUGCGGUGUUGGGGCUCUCGCGAUGCGGCGGCCCUUAAAGACAGUGGCGGUCCCGGCGUGGGCUCUACGCGUAGUAACUUGCUUCUCGCGACAGAGUGACGACGGUGGCUUGCCAGAACAACCCCCUUUAGCUCCAGUCACAUGGAUCACAGGUUGACCUCGAAUCAGGUAGGAAUACCCGCUGAACUUAAGCAUAUCAAUAAGCGGAGGA
RNAcentral lists this ribosomal RNA (602 nucleotides) under Erysiphe cruciferarum. Its description in RNAcentral is "eukaryotic LSU rRNA". The stretch from base 209 to 362 matches the Rfam family "5.8S ribosomal RNA". The record is from RNAcentral. Lineage: Eukaryota; Fungi; Ascomycota; Leotiomycetes; Helotiales; Erysiphaceae.